Molecule: long non-coding RNA, 380 nt
Filed under: Mytilus galloprovincialis (Mediterranean mussel)
Lineage: Eukaryota; Metazoa; Mollusca; Bivalvia; Mytilida; Mytilidae
Source: RNAcentral
CGUUUUUUUUCAUUUGGAUUUUAUAUUUCGAAAAUUAAUCAAAUCUGGGCGCCAUAUUUAAACUGGUGUUAUUGAGCUCCGACUCGAGAAUAAAAUUUUCUUAAAGUGAUGGAUUAACUAUUUCUUUAGCACAAGUAAGUAAUUUUUUUAAUAGUUUUCGUGCUCAAGUUAUUUAAAAUGAUAUUUGGCCCGUUAAAUAUUUGACCUAGAAAGAAGAUUGAAGCAAUUUUGUUCCGACCUGAAAUCAUGUCGGAAAGUGCUAAAGGAAUUUAACGUAUCUCGAUAUGACUUCGCAUUCAAAAAAAAUAAAAAAUGAAAAUAUCAGUAUAAAAACGUUAAAAAUUGAAUAAGAAUGCGAAGUCAUAUGUUAUAGGACUACA